CGUGGCGGGGGUGCCUUAUUACAUGCAAGUCGAACGAACUCUGGUAUUGAUUGGUGCUUGCAUCAUGAUUUACAUUUGAGUGAGUGGCGAACUGGUGAGUAACACGUGGGAAACCUGCCCAGAAGCGGGGGAUAACACCUGGAAACAGAUGCUAAUACCGCAUAACAACUUGGACCGCAUGGUCCGAGUUUGAAAGAUGGCUUCGGCUAUCACUUUUGGAUGGUCCCGCGGCGUAUUAGCUAGAUGGUGGGGUAACGGCUCACCAUGGCAAUGAUACGUAGCCGACCUGAGAGGGUAAUCGGCCACAUUGGGACUGAGACACGGCCCAAACUCCUACGGGAGGCAGCAGUAGGGAAUCUUCCACAAUGGACGAAAGUCUGAUGGAGCAACGCCGCGUGAGUGAAGAAGGGUUUCGGCUCGUAAAACUCUGUUGUUAAAGAAGAACAUAUCUGAGAGUAACUGUUCAGGUAUUGACGGUAUUUAACCAGAAAGCCACGGCUAACUACGUGCCAGCAGCCGCGGUAAUACGUAGGUGGCAAGCGUUGUCCGGAUUUAUUGGGCGUAAAGCGAGCGCAGGCGGUUUUUUAAGUCUGAUGUGAAAGCCUUCGGCUCAACCGAAGAAGUGCAUCGGAAACUGGGAAACUUGAGUGCAGAAGAGGACAGUGGAACUCCAUGUGUAGCGGUGAAAUGCGUAGAUAUAUGGAAGAACACCAGUGGCGAAGGCGGCUGUCUGGUCUGUAACUGACGCUGAGGCUCGAAAGUAUGGGUAGCAAACAGGAUUAGAUACCCUGGUAGUCCAUACCGUAAACGAUGAAUGCUAAGUGUUGGAGGGUUUCCGCCCUUCAGUGCUGCAGCUAACGCAUUAAGCAUUCCGCCUGGGGAGUACGGCCGCAAGGCUGAAACUCAAAGGAAUUGACGGGGGCCCGCACAAGCGGUGGAGCAUGUGGUUUAAUUCGAAGCUACGCGAAGAACCUUACCAGGUCUUGACAUACUAUGCAAAUCUAAGAGAUUAGACGUUCCCUUCGGGGACAUGGAUACAGGUGGUGCAUGGUUGUCGUCAGCUCGUGUCGUGAGAUGUUGGGUUAAGUCCCGCAACGAGCGCAACCCUUAUUAUCAGUUGCCAGCAUUAAGUUGGGCACUCUGGUGAGACUGCCGGUGACAAACCGGAGGAAGGUGGGGAUGACGUCAAAUCAUCAUGCCCCUUAUGACCUGGGCUACACACGUGCUACAAUGGAUGGUACAACGAGUUGCGAACUCGCGAGAGUAAGCUAAUCUCUUAAAGCCAUUCUCAGUUCGGAUUGUAGGCUGCAACUCGCCUACAUGAAGUCGGAAUCGCUAGUAAUCGCGGAUCAGCAUGCCGCGGUGAAUACGUUCCCGGGCCUUGUACACACCGCCCGUCACACCAUGAGAGUUUGUAACACCCAAAGUCGGUGGGGUAACCUUUUAGGAACCAGCCGCCCUA
RNAcentral lists this ribosomal RNA (1462 nucleotides) under Lactiplantibacillus plantarum. RNAcentral's name for it is "bacterial SSU rRNA". It matches the Rfam family "Bacterial small subunit ribosomal RNA". The record is from RNAcentral. Lineage: Bacteria; Bacillati; Bacillota; Bacilli; Lactobacillales; Lactobacillaceae.